Molecule: ribosomal RNA, 471 nt
Filed under: uncultured organism
Description: partial 16S ribosomal RNA
Rfam family: Bacterial small subunit ribosomal RNA
Source: RNAcentral
ACACUCCUACGGGAGGCAGCAGUGGGGAAUAUUGCACAAUGGGCGCAAGCCUGAUGCAGCCAUGCCGCGUGUAUGAAGAAGGCCUUCGGGUUGUAAAGUACUUUCAGCGGGGAGGAAGGCGAUAAGGUUAAUAACCUUGUCGAUUGACGUUACCCGCAGAAGAAGCACCGGCUAACUCCGUGCCAGCAGCCGCGGUAAUACGGAGGGUGCAAGCGUUAAUCGGAAUUACUGGGCGUAAAGCGCACGCAGGCGGUCUGUCAAGUCGGAUGUGAAAUCCCCAGGCUCAACCUGGGAACUGCAUUCGAAACUGGCAGGCUAGAGUCUUGUAGAGGGGGGUAGAAUUCCAGGUGUAGCGGUGAAAUGCGUAGAGAUCUGGAGGAAUACCGGUGGCGAAGGCGGCCCCCUGGACAAAGACUGACGCUCAGGUGCGAAAGCGUGGGGAGCAAACAGGAUUAGAAACCCCUGUAGUCC